RNAcentral lists this ribosomal RNA (253 nucleotides) under uncultured bacterium. Its description in RNAcentral is "partial 16S ribosomal RNA". It matches the Rfam family "Bacterial small subunit ribosomal RNA", at positions 524 to 776 of the family's 1533-position model. The record is from RNAcentral.
UACAGAGGAUGCAAGCGUUAUCCGGAAUGAUUGGGCGUAAAGCGUCUGUAGGUGGCUUUUUAAGUCCGCCGUCAAAUCCCAGGGCUCAACUCUGGACAGGCGGUGGAAACUACCAAGCUGGAGUACGGUAGGGGCAGAGGGAAUUUCCGGUGGAGCGGUGAAAUGCGUAGAGAUCGGAAAGAACACCAACGGCGAAGGCGGCUUCCUGGACCAAUACUGACGCUGAGGUGCGAAAGCGUGGGGAGCAAACAGG